CCCUUAGAUGUUCUGGGCUGCACGCGUGCUACACUGAUAUUGCCAAUAUGUCAUUCUUAUCCGAAAUGGAUUGGGUAAUCAAGUAAUGAAAUUUCAUGCUUGGAAUCGGUAAUUGGAAUUUUAUCGUGAACGAGGAAUUCCUAGUAAGCACUAGUCAUCAGCUAAUGUUGAUUAUGUCCCUGCCCUUUGUACACACCGCCCGUCGCUACUACUGAUUGGGUGUUCAAGUGAGAUGCUUAGACCCUUGUUGCAUGGUUCAUUAUUGUGCUCCGAAAGGAAAAAGUUUCAAGCUUGAGUGUCUAGAGGAAGUAAAAGUCGUAACA
This 323-nucleotide ribosomal RNA is filed under the name uncultured eukaryote. Its description in RNAcentral is "partial 18S ribosomal RNA". It matches the Rfam family "Eukaryotic small subunit ribosomal RNA", at positions 1470 to 1796 of the family's 1831-position model. The record is from RNAcentral.